UAGUUAGUUUUGACGUGAUUCCAAAGUUAGCUUCUUCAUGGUGUUAGAGCUGUAGCCUAGCAGCUCACGCAUGUCUACCUCGCAAGCUUUAAUUUCUCAUCCUUCUAACUCUUCUUCUUCUCAAAACGUCAAUAUGUACCUCCCAAAUGCUACCCAGUUUCUCUCCAUUAAGCUUAUUUCCAGCAAUUUUCUUUGUGGAUGGCUCAACUUAUGCCCCUCCUGUACAGCUACAAUUUAGCUGAUCACGUUAUUGAUUCAGUUUGUCCUCCAAAGACUCUCGAUAGUGGUGAUCCCAAUCCACAGUAUGAAACAUGGUUUCGGCAACACCAACUUAUUAUGAGCUGGUUCUUUUGCUCCAUAUCUGAAAAUCUUCUCCCUCAACUCAUAGGUCUUACAACAGUUAAAGAUGUAUGGAAUAAACUAACUACUAUUUUCUCUGCCGGUUCUCGCACUCAAGUUCAGCGAUUACACAAGCAGUUGAAACAUUUAACAAAGGGAUCUGACUCCAUUGAUGUCUAUAUGAAAAGAGCCAAGUCUAUUUUUGAUUAAUUAACAGCCUUACAAUGUCCAAUUUCUGAAGAAGCUCUUGUUGGUGAUGUUCUUGAAACACUUGGAUCUGAGUAUAGACCUUUCACACGAGCUAUUGAAGCUCGCAACAGCUCCAUUCUGUAUGAUGACCUAUAUGCUCUAUUGUUGAGUGAAGAAACGAUGGAAUCACUAUCAAUUAAUAGGGCCAUUCGGCCCACCGCUCAAGUUGCCACACAGUUUAGUGGCAAUCGAGGUUCUUGAUCCAAUCGUUGUGGUUGCGAUGGACGUCCACCCUUCAAUUCAUCUCUUACGUCUGGAUCUCCCUAUUCCAAUAUCAUCUGCUACAAUUGUCAAGGUCACGGUCAUAUAGCUAAACAAUGUCCAUCACCAAAAACUUCAUCCAACGCUACCAACUAACCGAUCUCCAAUUAUGCCUCUGCAGCUAACAAUCCAAUGCAACCUUGGACAAUAGAUUCUGAAGUGAAUUAUCACAUCACUACAGACCAUCGCAACAUUCAAAUUCCUCAGUCUUAUCAUGGUCCUAGUUCAAUAAUCCUUGGCAAUGGAUAUCUGCACGAACAAGAUUCUCUUCCAAGGCUAAAGUAAAGAUGGUCUCUACACCAUACCUCUUCGACCAACAACUGCUGUUUUGCCUUCUGCCAAUCUUGCUGAAUUCUCUACUUGGCAUGCUCGCUUAGGACAUGCCAAUAAUAGAACAGUUCAUCGAGUUCUUUCUCAUGAUAAGUUGUCAUUCAAUAAUAGUAAUAAGACUUUUUCAAUUCCAUGCAAUGCUUGCGAUGUUAGCAAAAUUCAUAUGCUUCCAUUUCCUGACUCUCAGUCUACUGUAUCUCAACCAUUAGAAUUAAUCUGCUCGGUCCUUCUCCUGUUGAGUCUGUAGAUGGUUUUCAGUAUUAUGUCAUCUUUUAUGAUCAUUUCAGCAAGUAUAGUUGGAUAUAUUUUUUAAAAUAUAAGCUGAUGUUUUGAACAUUUUUAUCCAAUUUCGUCACAUUAUAGAAAAAUACUUUGAUUUGCCAAUAAAAAGUUUCCAAGCAAACUGGCGUGGUGAAUUUUAGACUCUCACUAAACAUUUAAAAGAAAAUGGAAUCAUACAAAGAAUUUUUUGUCCACAUACCACAGAACAAAAUGGUUGUGCAAAACGAAAACAUCAUCAUGUUGUUGAAACAGGACGAGCUUUACUUCACCAUGCCUCUGUCCCAUUAAAGUAUUGGACCUAUGCCUUCGAUAUAGCUGUUUACACCAUCAAUAUAUUACCCUCCAUACAUCACACUAAUUCUACACCCUUUGAAAUUUUAUUUCAUCAGAAACUGAAUUAUGAGGUUUUAAAGGUAUUUGGUUCACUUUGUUAUCCAUGGUUGAAAUCGUACACUAAGCAUAAAUUGGAACCCAAAUCAACACCAUGUAUUUUUUUGGGAUAUAGCAAAUUACACAAGGGUUAUUUUUGCUUGGAUUCUUUUAUUGGAAAAAUUUAUGUCUCAUGUCAUGUUGUGUUUUUUGAGCAGGUUUUUCCCUUUCAUGGCAGUGAUGUGAAUUCUUCCUUGGAUCAAUGUUCUCAGUUGCUGGUGAUGGCCCUAUGGCUUUACCACCAUUUCCUCAAUUAUCACCACCUUCCAUUGAAGCCAUGAAAACCAUGCAAGAUGUUUCAACUCAUGUCUUACCCAAUCAGAACCAAAAAAGUAUUUUGGGCCCUUUACCUACACAUUUGUCAACUCCUAGCCAAAAUCCCUUGCCUACUACACCACGUCAACUUUCCACCCAAAGUCCAUGCCAUCUAGCCACCCAAUCUCCAUGCCACCUAACCACCCAAAGUUCAAGCCACAUGUCCACCCAAAGUCUUCCUCAAACACCAAGACUAGUUUGUAACUCACCUUCCUCACCCAACACUUCAUCUGAUGAUAAACUUUCUUUAUCCCAAGCCAACACGACACUCAUCCAAUUAACCAUGCUAUCCCAAACAGUCCCAUUUCUCCAUCACCUCACCGACUCAAUCUUAUCACAAGAAGUCCACCUACAACCACACUUUUAUCCACAUUCAAAGGGCUACAACUCGUAAUUGAUUGUACCGAAUUUCCCUCUUUAAACACAACCAACCAGUAACCAUCUCGUCCCUCUUCCCAUAACCACAACCCCCAAAAUUCACCCAAUGAUAAUGCGUGCUCAAACUGGACAUCUCAAACCCAAAACCUUCUUGGCUAUUCAUGAUUUGCCCUUGGCACCAAUUUGCUUUACAAAGGCAGCAGCAGAUCCUAAAUGGCGUGAGGCCAUGGACGAUGAAGUAACAGCAUUAGUUCAAAAUAGAACAUGGGAACUUGUUCCUAGAAGUGAUGCUCACAAUAUAAUUGGGUGCAAGUGGGUAUAUCAAUUCAAACAAAAAUCUGAUGGCACUAUUAAUUGAUAUAUAGCUCGUUUAGUAGUAAAGGGCUUCCAUCACUGCCCUGGCCUGGAUUUUUAUGAGACAUUCUCACCAGUUAUUAAACCCAUUACUAUUUGAGUGAUUCUUUCUUUAGCUGUGUCCUGGGGUUGGACAAUUAAGCAACUUGAUGUAUCAAAUGCAUUCUUACAUGGAGAUAUUGAUGCUACAGUCUUCAUGGAACAACCGCCAGGUUUCAUUAACAAAGAUAGGCAGACUAAUUAAUGUAAGUUGAAAUGGUUCCUUUAUGGACUCAAACAGGCCCUUCGCUAACGGUAUCACAAGCUCAUGCAGGCUUUGACGAAGCACAACUUUCGACCUUCCAAUGCUAAUUCCGCUCUUUUCCAAUUUAAAGAUGGCCCAACUUAAGCAUGUUGUCCAGUAUAUGUGGACGACAUACUCCUAACAGGUAAUGACAUGAACUUCCUUCUUCGUAUUAUUUCCUUGUUGCAAUAAGAUUUCAAAUUGAAGGACUUGGGAUCACUUGACUAUUUUCUUGGCAUAGUAGCCACUUUUACUAAUAGUGACCUACUUCUCACUCAAACCAAAUAUAUAACUGAUUUGUUGACAAGAGCUAACAUGGAUGCGUGCAAGCCAAUUUCCAGGCCUCUGUGUACCAAUGCCAAACUUUAUGCUAAUGAUGGUCCUCAAUUUGAUGAUGCCCAAUUGUACAGAAGUAUUGUGGGUGGCCUCCAAUACUUGUCUUUGACUCGUCUGGAUCUCUCUUUUGCUAUUAAUAAAGUCUCUUAAUAUCUUCACUCA
Long non-coding RNA from Hevea brasiliensis (rubber tree), 3718 nucleotides. RefSeq lists it as uncharacterized. Lineage: Eukaryota; Viridiplantae; Streptophyta; Magnoliopsida; Malpighiales; Euphorbiaceae. The transcript has 2 exons. The record is from RefSeq and is a predicted model, not a curated record.